RNAcentral lists this long non-coding RNA (9378 nucleotides) under Zea mays. RNAcentral describes it as "long non-coding RNA (ZMAY_LNC005766)". Lineage: Eukaryota; Viridiplantae; Streptophyta; Magnoliopsida; Poales; Poaceae. The record is from RNAcentral.
AGCCUAUGGUCGAUGAUCAAUGGCCACACAACCCCCAUUUUGUCGAAAAUAGCCAUGAAUGACCAUUUACAAUAAUACCGAAGGCUAACACCUACGGAUUUUUGACCAAGAAAUGGUCUCCACCAGAAAUCCAAGAAUGUGAUCUAUGGCAAGGAAACAUAUGUGGGGUGAUGUGUAUGAGCCUCUGGUCGAUGAUCAAUGGCCACACAACCCCCAUUUUUGUCGAAAAUAGCCAUGAACGACCAUUUUCAAUAAUAUCGAAGGCUAACACCUACGGAUUUUUGACCAAGAAAUGGUCUCCACCAGAAAUCCAAGAAUGUGAUCUAUGACAAGGAAACAUUUGUGGGGUGAGGUGUAUGAGCCUCUGGUCGACGAUCAAUGGCCACACAACCCCCAUUUUGCCGAAAAUAGCCAUGAAUGACCAUUUUCAAUAAUACCGAAGGCUAACACGUACGAGUUUUUAACCAAGAAAUGGCUUCCACCAGAAAUCCAAGAAUGUAAUCUAUGGCAAGGAAACAUAUGUGGGGUGAGGUUUAUGAGCCUCUAGUCGAUGAUAAAUGGCCACACAACCCCCAUUUUUUAUGAAAAUAGCCAUGAGCGACCUUGAAAAUAGCCAUGAGCGACCAUUUUCAAUAAUACUAGAGGCUAACACCUACGGAUUUUAGACCAAGAAAUGGUCUCCACCAGAAAUCCAAGAAUGUGAUCUACGACAAGGAAACAUAUGUGGGGUGAGGUGUAUGAGCCUCUGGUCGACGAUCAAUGGCCACACAACCCCCAUUUUGCCGAAAAUAGCCAUGAAUGACCAUUUUCAAUAAUACCGAAGGCUAACACGUACGAGUUUUUAACCAAGAAAUGGCUUCCACCAGAAAUCCAAGAAUGUAAUCUAUGGCAAGGAAACAUAUGUGGGGUGAGGUUUAUGAGCCUCUAGUCGAUGAUAAAUGGCCACACAACCCCCAUUUUUUAUGAAAAUAGCCAUGAGCGACCUUGAAAAUAGCCAUGAGCGACCAUUUUCAAUAAUACUAGAGGCUAACACCUACGGAUUUUAGACCAAGAAAUGGUCUCCACCAGAAAUCCAAGAAUGUGAUCUAUGGCAAGGAAACAUAUGUGGGGUGAGGUGUAUGAGCGUCUGGUCGAUGAUCAAUGGACACACAACCCCCAUUUUUGUCGAAAAUAGCCAUGAACGACCAUUUUCAAUAAUACCGAAGGCUAACACCUACGGAUUUUUGACCAAGAAAUGGUCUCCACCAAUAAUCCAAGAAUGUGAUUUAUGGCAAAGAAACAUAUGUGGGGUGAGGUGUAUGAGCCUCUUGUCGACGAUCAAUGGCCACACAACCCUAAUUUUUGUCGAAAAUAGCCAUGAACGACCAUUUUCAAUGACACUGAAGGCUAACACCUACGGAUUUUUGACCAAGAAAUGGUCUCCACCAUAAAUCCAAGAAUGUGAUCUAUGGCAAGGAAACAUAUGUGUAGUGAGGUGUAUGAGCCUCUGGUCGAAGAUCAAUGGCCACACAACCCCCAUUUUUGUCGAAAAUAGCCAUGAAUGACCAUUUUCAAAAAUACCAAAGGCUAACACGUACGGAUUUUUGACCAAGAAAUGGUCUCCACCAGAAAUCCAAGAAUGUGAUCUAUGUCAAGGAAACAUAUGUGGGGUGAGGUGUACGAGCCUCUGGUCGAUGAUCAAUGGCCACACAACCCCCAUUUUGCCGAAAAUAGCCAUGAACGACCAUUUUCAAUAAUACCGAAGGCUAACACGUACGAGUUUUUAACCAAGAAAUGGUCUCCACCAGAAAUCCAAGAAUGUGAUCUAUGGCAAUGAAACAUAUGUGGGGUGAGGUUUAUGAGCCUCUAGUCGAUGAUAAAUGGCCACACAACCCCCAUUUUUUAUGAAAAUAGCCAUGAGCGACCUUCAAAAUAGCCAUGAGCGACCAUUUUCAAUAAUACUAGAGGCUAACACCUACGGAUUUUAGACCAAGAAAUGGUCUCCACCAGAAAUCCAAGAAUGUGAUCUAUGGCAAGGAAACAUAUGUGGGGUGAGGUGUAUGAGCGUCUGGUCGAUGAUCAAUGGCCACACAACCCCCAUUUUUGUCGAAAAUAGCCAUGAACGACCAUUUUCAAUAAUACCUAGGCUAACACCUACGGAUUUUUGACCAAGAAAUGGUCUCCACCAGAAAUCCAAGAAUGUGAUCUAUGGCAAGGAAACAUAUGUGGGGUGAGGUGUAUGAGCCUCUGGUCGACGAUCAAUGGCCACACAACCCUAAUUUUUGUCGAAAAUAGCCAUGAACGACCAUUUUCAAUGACACUGAAGGCUAACACCUACGGAUUUUUGACCAAGAAAUGGUCUCCACCAUAAAUCCAAGAAUGUGAUCUAUGGCAAGGAAACAUAUGUGUAGUGAGGUGUAUGAGCCUCUGGUCGAAGAUCAAUGGCCACACAACCCCCAUUUUUGUCGAAAAUAGCCAUGAAUGACCAUUUUCAAAAAUACCAAAGGCUAACACAUUCGAUUUUUGCCCAAGAAAUGGUCUCCACCAGAAAUCCAAGAAUGUGAUCUAUGGCAAGGAAACAUAUGUGGGGUGAGGUGUACGAGCCUCUGGUCGAUGAUCAAUGGCCACAGAACCCCCAUUUUGCCGAAAAUAGCCAUGAACGACCAUUUUCAAUAAUACCGAAGGCUAACACGUACGAGUUUUUGACCAAGAAAUGGUCUCCACCAAAAAUCCAAGAAUGUGAUCUAUGGCAAGGAAACAUAUGUGGGGUGAGAUUUAUGAGCCUCUAGUCGAUGAUAAAUGGCCACACAACCCCCAUUUUUUUAUGAAAAUAGCCAUGAGCGACCAUUUUCAAUAAUAUUAGAGGCUAAGACCUACGGAUUUUUGACCAAGAAAUGGUCUCCACCAGAAAUCCAAGAAUGUGAUCUAUGGCAAGGAAACAUAUGUGGGGUGAGGUGUAUGAGCCUCUGGUCGAUGAUCAAUGGCCACACAACCCCCAUUUUUGUCGAAAAUAGCCAUGAAUGACCAUUUACAAUAAUACCGAAGGCUAACACCUACGGAUUUUUUACCAAGAAAUGGUCUCCACCAGAAAUCCAAGAAUGUGAUCUAUGGCAAGGAAACAUAUGUGGGGUGAGGUGUAUGAGCCUCUGGUCGAUGAUCAAUGGCCACACAACCCCAUUUUUGUCAAAAUAGCCAUGAACGACCAUUUUCAAUAAUAUCGAAGGCUAACACCUACGGAUUUUUGACCAAGAAAUGGUCUCCACCAGAAAUCCAAGAAUGUGAUCUACGACAAGGAAACAUAUGUGGGGUGAGGUGUAUGAGCCUCUGGUCGACGAUCAAUGGCCACACAACCCCCAUUUUGCCGAAAAUAGCCAUGAAUGACCAUUUUCAAUAAUACCGAAGGCUAACACGUACGAGUUUUUAACCAAGAAAUGGUUUCCACCAGAAAUCCAAGAAUGUAAUCUAUGGCAAGGAAACAUAUGUGGGGUGAGGUUUAUGAGCCUCUAGUCGAUGAUAAAUGGCCACACAACCCCCAUUUUUUAUGAAAAUAGCCAUGAGCGACCUUGAAAAUAGCCAUGAGCGACCAUUUUCAAUAAUAUUAGAGGCUAAGACCUACGGAUUUUUGACCAAGAAAUGGUCUCCACCAGAAAUCCAAGAAUGUGAUCUAUGGCAAGGAAACAUAUGUGGGGUGAGGUGUAUGAGCCUCUGGUCGAUGAUCAAUGGCCACACAACCCCCAUUUUUGUCGAAAAUAGCCAUGAAUGACCAUUUACAAUAAUACCGAAGGCUAACACCUACGGAUUUUUGACCAAGAAAUGGUCUCCACCAGAAAUCCAAGAAUGUGAUCUAUGGCAAGGAAACAUAUGUGGGGUGAGGUGUAUGAGCCUCUGGUCGAUAAUCAAUGGCCACACAACCCCCAUUUUUGUCGAAAAUAGCCAUGAACGACCAUUUUCAAUAAUAUCGAAGGCUAACACCUAUGGAUUUUUGACCAAGAAAUGGUCUCCACCAGAAAUCCAAGAAUGUGAUCUACGACAAGGAAACAUAUGUGGGGUGAGGUGUAUGAGCCUCUGGUCGACGAUCAAUGGCCACACAACCCCCAUUUUGCCGAAAAUAGCCAUGAAUGACCAUUUUCAAUAAUACCGAAGGCUAACACGUACGAGUUUUUAACCAAGAAAUGGUUUCCACCAGAAAUCCAAGAAUGUAAUCUAUGGCAAGGAAACAUAUGUGGGGUGAGGUUUAUGAGCCUCUAGUCGAUGAUAAAUGGCCACACAACCCCCAUUUUUUAUGAAAAUAGCCAUGAGCGACCUUGAAAAUAGCCAUGAGCGACCAUUUUCAAUAAUACUAGAGGCUAACACCUACGGAUUUUAGACCAAGAAAUGGUCUCCACCAGAAAUCCAAGAAUGUGAUCUAUGGCAAGGAAACAUAUGUGGGGUGAGGUGUAUGAGCGUCUGGUCGAUGAUCAAUGGCCACACAACCCCCAUUUUUGUCGAAAAUAGCCAUGAACGACCAUUUUCAAUAAUACCGAAGGCUAACACCUACGGAAUUUUGACCAAGAAAUGGUCUCCACCAGAAAUCCAAGAAUGUGAUCUAUGGCAAGGAAACAUAUGUGGGGUGAGGUGUAUGAGCCUCUGGUCGACGAUCAAUGGCCACACAACCCCCAUUUUUUAUGAAAAUAGCCAUGAGCGACCUUGAAAAUAGCCAUGAGCGACCAUUUUCAAUAAUACUAGAGGCUAACACCUACGGAUUUUAGACCAAGAAAUGGUCUCCACCAGAAAUCCAAGAAUGUGAUCUAUGGCAAGGAAACAUAUGUGGGGUGAGGUGUAUGAGCGUCUGGUCGAUGAUCAAUGGCCACACAACCCCCAUUUUUGUCGAAAAUAGCCAUGAACGACCAUUUUCAAUAAUACCGAAGGCUAACACCUACGGAUUUUUGACCAAGAAAUGGUCUCCACCAGAAAUCCAAGAAUGUGAUCUAUGGCAAGGAAACAUAUGUGGGGUGAGGUGUAUGAGCCUCUGGUCGAUGAUCAAUGGCCACACAACCCCCAUUUUUGUCGAAAAUAGCCAUGAACGACCAUUUUCAAUAAUAUCGAAGGCUAACACCUACGGAUUUUUGACCAAGAAAUGGUCUCCACCAGAAAUCCAAGAAUGUGAUCUACGACAAGGAAACAUAUGUGGGGUGAGGUGUAUGAGCCUCUGGUCGACGAUCAAUGGCCACACAACCCCCAUUUUGCCGAAAAUAGCCAUGAAUGACCAUUUUCAAUAAUAUCGAAGGCUAACACCUACGGAUUUUUGACCAAGAAAUGGUCUCCACCAGAAAUCCAAGAAUGUGAUCUACGACAAGGAAACAUAUGUGGGGUGAGGUGUAUGAGCCUCUGGUCGAUGAUCAAUGGCCACACAACCCCCAUUUUGCCGAAAAUAGCCAUGAAUGACCAUUUUCAAUAAUACCGAAGGCUAACACGUACGAGUUUUUAACCAAGAAAUGGUUUCCACCAGAAAUCCAAGAAUGUAAUCUAUGGCAAGGAAACAUAUGUGGGGUGAGGUUUAUGAGCCUCUAGUCGAUGAUAAAUGGCCACACAACCCCCAUUUUUUAUGAAAAUAGCCAUGAGCGACCUUGAAAAUAGCCAUGAGCGACCAUUUUCAAUAAUACUAGAGGCUAACACCUACGGAUUUUAGACCAAGAAAUGGUCUCCACCAGAAAUCCAAGAAUGUGAUCUAUGGCAAGGAAACAUAUGUGGGGUGAGGUGUAUGAGCGUCUGGUCGAUGAUCAAUGGCCACACAACCCCCAUUUUUGUCGAAAAUAGCCAUGAACGACCAUUUUCAAUAAUACCGAAGGCUAACACCUACGGAUUUUUGACCAAGAAAUGGUCUCCACCAGAAAUCCAAGAAUGUGAUCUAUGGCAAGGAAACAUAUGUGGGGUGAGGUGUAUGAGCCUCUGGUCGAUGAUCAAUGGCCACACAACCUCCAUUUUUGUCGAAAAUAGCCAUGAACGACCAUUUUCAAUAAUAUCGAAGGCUAACACCUACUGAUUUUUGACCAAGAAAUGGUCUCCACCAGAAAUCCAAGAAUGUGAUCUACGACAAGGAAACAUAUGUGGGGUGAGGUGUAUGAGCCUCUGGUCGACGAUCAAUGGCCACACAACCCCCAUUUUGCCGAAAAUAGCCAUGAAUGACCAUUUUCAAUAAUAUCGAAGGCUAACACCUACGGAUUUUUGACCAAGAAAUGGUCUCCACCAGAAAUCCAAGAAUGUGAUCUACGACAAGGAAACAUAUGUGGGGUGAGGUGUAUGAGCCUCUGGUCGACGAUCAAUGGCCACACAACCCCCAUUUUGCCGAAAAUAGCCAUGAAUGACCAUUUUCAAUAAUACCGAAGGCUAACACGUACGAGUUUUUAACCAAGAAAUGGUUUCCACCAGAAAUCCAAGAAUGUAAUCUAUGGCAAUGAAACAUAUGUGGGGUGAGGUUUAUGAGCCUCUAGUCGAUGAUAAAUGGCCACACAACCCCCAUUUUUUAUGAAAAUAGCCAUGAGCGACCUUGAAAAUAGCCAUGAGCGACCAUUUUCAAUAAUACUAGAGGCUAACACCUACGGAUUUUAGACCAAGAAAUGGUCUCCACCAGAAAUCCAAGAAUGUGAUCUAUGGCAAGGAAACAUAUGUGGGGUGAGGUGUAUGAGCGUCUGGUCGAUGAUCAAUGGCCACACAACCCCCAUUUUUGUCGAAAAUAGCCAUGAACGACCAUUUUCAAUAAUACCGAAGGCUAACACCUACGGAUUUUUACCAAGAAAUGGUCUCCACCAGAAAUCCAAGAAUGUGAUCUAUGGCAAGGAAACAUAUGUGGGGUGAGGUGUAUGAGCCUCUAGUCGAUGAUCAAUGGCCACACAACCCCCAUUUUUGUCGAAAAUAGCCAUGAAUGACCAUUUUCAAAAAUACCAAAGGCUAACACGUACGGAUUUUUAACCAAGAAAUGGUCUCCACCAGAAAUCCAAGAAUGUGAUCUAUGGCAAGGAAACAUAUGUGGGGUGAGGUGUAUGAGCCUCUGGUCGAUGAUCAAUGGCCACACAACCCCCAUUUUUGUCGAAAAUAGCCAUGAACGACCAUUUUCAAUAAUAUCGAAGGCUAACACCUACGGAUUUUUGACCAAGAAAUGGUCUCCACCAGAAAUCCAAGAAUGUGAUCUACGACAAGGAAACAUAUGUGGGGUGAGGUGUAUGAGCCUCUGGUCGACGAUCAAUGGCCACACAACCCCCAUUUUGCCGAAAAUAGCCAUGAAUGACCAUUUUCAAUAAUAUCGAAGGCUAACACCUACGGAUUUUUGACCAAGAAAUGGUCUCCACCAGAAAUCCAAGAAUGUGAUCUACGACAAGGAAACAUAUGUGGGGUGAGGUGUAUGAGCCUCUGGUCGACGAUCAAUGGCCACACAACCCCCAUUUUGCCGAAAAUAGCCAUGAAUGACCAUUUUCAAUAAUACCGAAGGCUAACACGUACGAGUUUUUAACCAAGAAAUGGUUUCCACCAGAAAUCCAAGAAUGUAAUCUAUGGCAAGAAACAUAUGUGGGGUGAGGUUUAUGAGCCUCUAGUCGAUGAUAAAUGGCCACACAACCCCAUUUUUUAUGAAAAUAGCCAUGAGCGACCUUGAAAAUAGCCAUGAGCGACCAUUUUCAAUAAUACUAGAGGCUAACACCUACGGAUUUUAGACCAAGAAAUGGUCUCCACCAGAAAUCCAAGAAUGUGAUCUAUGGCAAGGAAACAUAUGUGGGGUGAGGUGUAUGAGCGUCUGGUCGAUGAUCAAUGGCCACACAACCCCCAUUUUUGUCGAAAAUAGCCAUGAACGACCAUUUUCAAUAAUACCGAAGGCUAACACCUACGGAUUUUUGACCAAGAAAUGGUCUCCACCAGAAAUCCAAGAAUGUGAUCUAUGGCAAGGAAACAUAUGUGGGGUGAGGUGUAUGAGCCUCUAGUCGAUGAUCAAUGGCCACACAACCCCCAUUUUUGUCGAAAAUAGCCAUGAAUGACCAUUUUCAAAAAUACCAAAGGCUAACACGUACGGAUUUUUAACCAAGAAAUGGUCUCCACCAGAAAUCCAAGAAUGUGAUCUAUGGCAAGGAAACAUAUGUGGGGUGAGGUGUACGAGCCUCUGGUCGAUGAUCAAUGGCCACACAACCCCCAUUUUGCCGAAAAUAGCCAUGAAUGACCAUUUUCAAUAAUACCGAAGGCUAACACGUACGAGUUUUUAACCAAGAAAUGGUCUCCACCAGAAAUCCAAGAAUGUGAUCUAUGGCAAGGAAACAUAUGUGGGGUGAGGUGUAUGAGCGUCUGGUCGAUGAUCAAUGGCCACACAACCCCCAUUUUUGUCGAAAAUAGCCAUGAACGACCAUUUUCAAUAAUACCGAAGGCUAACACCUACGGAUUUUUGACCAAGAAAUGGUCUCCACCAGAAAUCCAAGAAUGUGAUCUAUGGCAAGGAAACAUAUGUGGGGUGAGGUGUAUGAGCCUCUGGUCGACGAUCAAUGGCCACACAACCCCAUUUUUGUCGAAAAUAGCCAUGAACGACCAUUUUCAAUAAUACGAAGGCUAACACCUACGGAUUUUUGACCAAGAAAUGGUCUCCACCAGAAAUCCAAGAAUGUGAUCUAUGGCAAGGAAACAUAUGUGGGUGAGGUGUAUGAGCCUCUGGUCGAUGAUCAAUGGCCACACAACCCCCAUUUUUGUCGAAAAUAGCCAUGAAUGACCAUUUUCAAUAAUACCGAAGGCUAACACCUACGGAUUUUUGACCAAGAAAUGUCUCCACCAGAAAUCCAAGAAUGUGAUCUAUGGCAAGGAAACAUAUGUGGGGUGAGGUGUAUGAGCCUCUGGUCGACGAUCAAUGGCCACACAACCCCCAUUUUGCCGAAAAUAGCCAUGAAUGACCAUUUUCAAUAAUACCGAAGGCUAACACUACGAGUUUUUAACCAAGAAAUGGUCUCCACCAGAAAUCCAAGAAUGUAAUCUAUGGCAAGGAAACAUAUGUGGGGUGAGGUUUAUGAGCCUCUAGUCGAUGAUAAAUGGCCACACAAGCCCCAUUUUUUAUGAAAAUAGCCAUGAGCGACCUUGAAAAUAGCCAUGAGCGACCAUUUUCAAUAAUACUAGAGGCUAACACCUACGGAUUUUAGACCAAGAAAUGGUCUCCACCAGAAAUCCAAGAAUGUGAUCUAUGGCAAGGAAACAUAUGUGGGGUGAGGUGUAUGAGCGUCUGGUCGAUGAUCAAUGGCCACACAACCCCCAUUUUUGUCGAAAAUAGCCAUGAAUGACCAUUUUCAAUAAUACCGAAGGCUAACACCUACGGAUUUUUGACCAAGAAAUGGUCUCCACCAGAAAUCCAAGAAUGUGAUCUAUGGCAAGGAAACAUAUGUGGGGUGAGGUGUAUGAGCC